RNAcentral lists this unclassified non-coding RNA (253 nucleotides) under uncultured Bacteroidota bacterium. RNAcentral describes it as "uncultured Bacteroidetes bacterium contains 16S-23S intergenic spacer region". It matches the Rfam family "Bacterial small subunit ribosomal RNA", at positions 524 to 776 of the family's 1533-position model. Lineage: Bacteria; Pseudomonadati; Bacteroidota. The record is from RNAcentral.
UACGGAGGGUGCAAGCGUUGUCCGGAAUCAUUGGGUGUAAAGGGUGUGUAGGCGGGACUGUAAGUCAGGGGUGAAAGCCCGCAGCUUAACUGCGGAAUUGCCCUUGAUACUGCAGACCUUGAGUCCUGGAGGGGCUACUAGAAUUCGUGGUGUAGCGGUGAAAUGCGUAGAUAUCACGAGGAAUACCAAAGGCGUAGGCAGGUAGCUGGACAGGUACUGACGCUGAGGCACGAAAGCGUGGGGAGCAAACAGG